UAUUUUGGCCAGGAGCUGAAGUUGGUUGUUUAGUAGUAGUAGUUUGAGUAGUGACCGAAGUAGUAGUCUGGUGUGUGGGUGCAAGAGUAGUUGGGGAAGAAUUAGGUGUGGUAAUUGGGGCAGCUGUGGUCUCUUGUGGAGCUGGGGAAGACGGUGGAGCUGGUGUAGUUGCAGAAGGUGUGGGUGGGGCAGCUGUGGUCUCUGGUGGAGCUGAGGCGGAUGAUGGGUCUAGGGUAGUUGCAGAAGGUGUGGGUGGGGCAGCUGUGGUCUCUGGUGGAGCUGAGGAAGAUGGUGGAGCUGGUGUAGUUGCAGAAGGUGUGGGUGGGGCAGCUGUGGUGUCUUGUGGAGCUGGGGAAUUCACUGGUGCUAAUGUAGCUACAGAAGAGCUUGUGUUAACAUUUUCUCUUGAAGAUAUGGUGGUGGCAUUCUGGGGAAGAAAAGUCACAUUUGGAAGGGUAGUAAUUUUGGUGGCUGGUGAGGAUUUGGGAAUUUGGGGGGGUUAUUAGGUGAAGGUGGAAGCUUAGGCCUACAGCGUUUGUGCAG
RNAcentral lists this long non-coding RNA (543 nucleotides) under Homo sapiens (human). RNAcentral's name for it is "HSALNT0320166". Lineage: Eukaryota; Metazoa; Chordata; Mammalia; Primates; Hominidae. The record is from RNAcentral.